AAUGAACGCUGGCGGCAGGCCUAACACAUGCAAGUCGAACGGAUCCUUCGGGAUUAGUGGCGGACGGGUGAGUAACGCGUGGGAACAUACCCUUUGGUACGGAAUAGCCGCGGGAAACUGGGAGUAAUACCGUAUGUGGUCGAGAGACGAAAGAUUUAUCGCCAAAGGAUUGGCCCGCGUUGGAUUAGGUAGUUGGUGGGGUAAUGGCCUACCAAGCCGACGAUCCAUAGCUGGUUUGAGAGGAUGAUCAGCCACACUGGGACUGAGACACGGCCCAGACUCCUACGGGAGGCAGCAGUGGGGAAUCUUAGACAAUGGGGGAAACCCUGAUCUAGCCAUGCCGCGUGAUCGAUGAAGGCCUUAGGGUUGUAAAGAUCUUUCAGGUGGGAAGAUAAUGACUGUACCACCAGAAGAAGCCCCGGCUAACUACGUGCCAGCCGCCGCGGUAA
Molecule: ribosomal RNA, 449 nt
Filed under: uncultured bacterium
Lineage: Bacteria
Description: partial 16S ribosomal RNA
Rfam family: Bacterial small subunit ribosomal RNA
Source: RNAcentral